AACGAACGCUGGCGGCAGGCUUAACACAUGCAAGUCGAACGAUGUAGCAAUACAUAGUGGCGCACGGGUGAGUAACGCGUGGGAAUAUACCUUGUAGUGGGGAAUAACGUUGGGAAACUAACGCUAAUACCGCAUACGCCCGAGAGGGGAAAGAUUUAUCGCUAUAAGAUUAGCCCGCGUGAGAUUAGGUAGUUGGUGGGGUAAUGGCCUACCAAGCCUACGAUCUCUAGCUGGUCUGAGAGGAUGAUCAGCCACACUGGAACUGAGACACGGUCCAGACUCCUACGGGAGGCAGCAGUGGGGAAUAUUGGGCAAUGGAGGAAACUCUGACCCAGCCAUGCCGCGUGAAUGAUGAAGGCCUUAGGGUUGUAAAGUUCUUUCGCCGAUGAAGAUAAUGACGGUAGUCGGAGAAGAAGCCCAGGCUAACUUCGUGCCAGCCGCCGCGGUAA
RNAcentral lists this ribosomal RNA (449 nucleotides) under uncultured bacterium. RNAcentral's name for it is "partial 16S ribosomal RNA". It matches the Rfam family "Bacterial small subunit ribosomal RNA", at positions 29 to 523 of the family's 1533-position model. The record is from RNAcentral.